AAGAAAGUAAGUAAGGGCGUAUGGGGGAUGCCUAGGCUCUUGGAGGCUAAGAAGGACGUGGUAAGCUGCGAAAAGCUGCGGGGAUUUGCAAACGAGACUCGAUCCGCAGAUAUCCGAAUGGGACAACCCGGCAGGUAGAAGACCUGUCACACCGCGAGGUGAGCUAACCCUCUGAACUGAAACAUCUAAGUAGGAGGAGGAAAAGAAAGAAACAUCGAUUUCCAAAGUAGCGGCGAGCGAAAUGGAAGAAGCCCAAACCGAUAUUGUUACGGCAAUAUCGGGGUUGUAGGACUGCAAUAUUCAAUUAACAAUGAACUGGAAUGGUCUGGAAAGUCCAUCCAUAGAGAGUGAAAGGCUCGUACAGGUAAGUUUGUUAUGCGAAA
This 383-nucleotide ribosomal RNA is filed under the name human gut metagenome. RNAcentral describes it as "bacterial LSU rRNA". It matches the Rfam family "Bacterial large subunit ribosomal RNA", at positions 1 to 405 of the family's 2925-position model. The record is from RNAcentral.